This is a non-coding RNA of Mycena latifolia, 94 nucleotides long. NCBI's taxonomy places the organism in Eukaryota, Fungi, Basidiomycota, Agaricomycetes, Agaricales, Mycenaceae. The record is from the annotation of a GenBank genome assembly.
GGCUCGAUGGCGGACGGUCCGCGCCUGCACUGCAUAGCGACAAUUUUGCUGUCUGUAAGCGCGGGAGACGCCCGUUCGACUCGGGCUCGGGCCA